RNAcentral lists this long non-coding RNA (1696 nucleotides) under Anas platyrhynchos platyrhynchos (common mallard). RNAcentral's name for it is "lncRNA (ENSAPLG00000029406.1)". Lineage: Eukaryota; Metazoa; Chordata; Aves; Anseriformes; Anatidae. The record is from RNAcentral.
AUCAUCAGUAAUUCCGUAGUGUAUUGUUGCAGUUUCAUCUUGCUUUUCCAAAUAAAGCUUUACAACAUAAAAAAAAAAAAAAUCUAAAGUUCAACCUAACCUUGAAAUUCUGACAUACUGAAAAAAUCUACAAAAUAAAGAUAAUUUCUAAGAGAUGUAUGAAGAGCUGAGGAAAGAACCAUGAGGUUUAGGACACCCUGAGUAACCUUUUGUUUGUCUGGCAGUUCAGAUGAAUAAAAGAAUUGGUCUAAAUAGAAAUUGAUUUUUGCUUCAUAUUUUCUAACUGAAAUCAAAAAAUAAAACAACACAUUAGCAGAGAAGUCUGUUUUACACUAAGCAAAGAAUUUCACGUUAUCUGGAAUGCAAGUUUUAUUCUGAGGACUUGUAAAAAUUAAUGAAACUAGACUAUCAAAGAAGUCCAGGUACCAUAUCAGCUGGUACAGAAUGUUUUCACCAGCUGAAGUACUUACUCAAAAGCUGAGAGGAAUAUGUCUUUGUGUAUCACCUUUGCAGGACAACUCAUAAGUCCAACUUGUUGUUGCAGGUAUUAAGUAAACAUGCUUGUAAGAUGGGCCUUGCCAUUCAAAUUGGUUUCCAGAGUCAAACUGAGAUGGAUUUGGAACUUCAGGAUGCUACCCCAGUUUUUUCCAUCUGACAAGACGCUAUUUGCCCUUUGCACAGCAGAAUACAAUCCAGAAGAAAGUAACUUUGAAGAUACUUUACACAAAAAGAUUGUUUGUCUAAUCAACUCAUGUGAAAGUGAUUUAUAAAUGCUCCUUGUUAGAAGCAAGUCUACUAGGAUACAAGAAGCUCAAAAGAAAGAUACUUCAGCUGAAUUUGAUUCUGUAACUUUUCUUUCAGUUAUUAUAUAAGGCAGGAUUACAAAACUGUCAUGAUACAGACAGCUUAACAAUAGGUCAAGAAUAUUGUCUGUCACCUGUUUCUUCUUAUGCCUAAGUCUAAAAAAAAAACCUGUCAUUUUCAUCUUUUCUGUAACUGAAAACAGAGUGAAAGAGGAAUGAGUAUCUUGCCAUUGAAUUUCAUAUGCAAUUUACAAUUUAAAAUUGAUAGUUAUAAUUAUUACUGUUUGUUACCCAAUACUUAGCUUUGUAUGAGAAAAACCUAGCAUGUGAUUGAAAGCACUUGAAAUCUGUCUGGUUUUCAUAACUAUAGGCAUCCUAACUAGACAUAUUCAUACAGCUGAUUAUGAUAGUUUUCUUAUUUAAAAGAAUAACUGACCUGAUACAGCAGAAAAAGUCUAACAAUCCUCAGAAAUAUCUUCAAGCAGAACCAGAAAGCUAGACCCUCUGUUCUUCUGAGUGAGGCAACAAGAAAACCAGGCCAUGAGCCUUUGCAUUAAGCAGCUUUUUAUUUAAAGCUUUUCUGUAUGAAUUCUUCAGGUCUGUAAACUCAGUAUAUAUGCAGACGUAUACUCUAAGAUACAGAUACAAACAGAGAGAGCUGUGUUAUCAGCAGUUCCUUACAUCUUUCUCCUGUUGUAUUGCUGCUUCUUCCAAACUGACAUGUCUGUUUCUAGCUCUCCCAAAGUCUCAGCUGUGCAGUCAGAGAUAUUUCUUCAUAUACACUGUCUGAUAUCACUGUGGGUCCGAGAAAGGGAGAGAAAUGUGUGGGGUUUGUGGGCUGUUGGAGACUUCCAAAAUCAAAAAUAAAGGUUAAUUUUUGAUCCCUGGGUUCA